Molecule: ribosomal RNA, 483 nt
Filed under: uncultured bacterium
Lineage: Bacteria
Description: bacterial SSU rRNA
Rfam family: Bacterial small subunit ribosomal RNA
Source: RNAcentral
UGAACGCUAGCGGGAGGCUUAACACAUGCAAGUCGAGGGGUAACGAUCGGGAUUUCGGUUCUGAGGCGACGACCGGCGAACGGGUGAGUAACGCGUAUGCAACCUGCCUUUUACAGGAGAAUAGGUUUCGGAAACGGAAAUUAAUGCUCCAUAACACUUCACUGUGGCAUCACAGAGCAGUUAAAACUUCGGUGGUAAAAGAUGGGCAUGCGUAACAUUAGCUAGUUGGUAAGGUAACGGCUUACCAAGGCAACGAUGUUUAGGGGACCUGAGAGGGUGAUCCCCCACACUGGUACUGAGACACGGACCAGACUCCUACGGGAGGCAGCAGUGAGGAAUAUUGGUCAAUGGGCGCAAGCCUGAACCAGCCAUCCCGCGUGCAGGAAGACGGCCCUAUGGGUUGUAAACUGCUUUUCUGACGGAAGAAUAAUCGCUACGUGUAGCGAGACGACGGUACUUCAGGAAUAAGCAUCGGCUAACUCC